CACCCUCUCUUUGUUUUUCCUGCACAGCACAAUACAGCAUUGUUGAUUGCCAGCUGGAAACCAGAGUACAAACCAGUUCUACUCCAGGGCCAGAUUCUGCCACUUUUAUUCAUGCUGAGUGGUACGUUAUCCUGCAGACAAUCCCACUGGAAUACGUGAGUGAAAUACUAGAUGUACUGAAGUCAAUGGCAAAACUCCCACAGACUUCAUCCAGGAUUUCACCAAUGGUCCUUUCUGUAAAUGAAUGUAAUGCUGAUGGAAGGUGUCAGACUGGUA
RNAcentral lists this long non-coding RNA (276 nucleotides) under Chrysemys picta bellii (western painted turtle). Its description in RNAcentral is "lncRNA (ENSCPBG00000015460.1)". The record is from RNAcentral. Lineage: Eukaryota; Metazoa; Chordata; Testudines; Emydidae.